Long non-coding RNA from Amphibalanus amphitrite, 218 nucleotides. RefSeq lists it as uncharacterized. Lineage: Eukaryota; Metazoa; Arthropoda; Thecostraca; Balanomorpha; Balanidae. The transcript has 2 exons. The record is from RefSeq and is a predicted model, not a curated record.
CUAACCUACACUACAACUUUUGGUUAAUGUUCAGAAAGAGUGCGAUUCACUUUUCAGGCAUACAUUUUGUACAUUGUUACACUAUUUGACAUCCUAAAUCCAGAUAGGCUUACCGGUCAUGACUGAGGCCGGCAUCUCACCUGUCCUGGCUACGCCAAAUCACUGUGGAUGCCGGAUGCCGAGGACCGGAGAGCCAACCGCUUUGAGGCGUGAGCUCU